GGUCCUCUGAACAGUACAGUUUGGGGGUCCUUGUUUUCAAACUUUAUAUAAAUGGAACUGCAUUAUAUAUAUAUAUCUUGUGGCUUUUGCUCAAUAUGUUUAUGAGAUUUGACCGUGGUGAUAUUUGUACCUAUAGCUUGUUCAUUUCACUGCUGUUGAAUAUUCCAUGAAUGAACAAGCAUAAUUUAUCCAAUUAUUGAUGGACAUUGGGUUGCUUCGAGAUACAAGUUUCUCCGGGAUAAAUAUAUCGAGGAGUGGGAUUGUGGGCACGUUACAGCUGAGGAGGUUAGUAGUGGUGUGUCAUGGUGGUUCUUAUUUCCCUGAUUUCUACUGACGAUGAACAACUUUUCCAUUGGAUAUUCUGUUUUGUGAAGUGGCUUCUAAAGUCCUUUGCUCAUUUUUUUAAAUAGGGUUUCCUAAUAAUGUAAUGUUGAGAUAGGAGAUCAGCAGAACUUGUUUUCCAAGCACUGGUCAAGACCUUGGUCAUGAUCCCGCUGAUCAAAACAGAAUCUGGUCGGAACAGGAUGCAGUGAAGAAAUCAGCUGAAACCAGCUGGAACCAAGAUGGCAACAAAAGUGACCUCACUUUUGUCCCUCACUGCUCAUUAUAUGCUAGUGAUAAUGCAUGCUAAAAGACAUUCCCACCAGCACCAUGACAGUUUACACAUGCCACGGCAAUACCCAAAAGUUAUCUUAUGUGAUUUAAAAGGGGGAGGAACCCUCAGUUCCAGGAACUCCGGAUCCCUUUGCUAGAAAAUUCAUGAAUAACCUGCCCCUUAUUUAGCAUAUAAUAAGAAGUAGCUAUACAUAUAGAUAGCUGGUAGUCCAGGAGUGCUGCUCUGCCUAUGGGGUAGCCCUGUAAACCCCAUCCACCUGUAUGGAUGCUCUAUGAAACCCACUUUUCUGUACUCUGUUGCUCUAAUAAACUUGCUUUGCUUUCACUCUUUUCUGUUGGGUCACUCUCAAAUUAUUUCCUGUGCAAAGCCAAGAACGCUCUCAGGCUGAGCCCCAGUUUUGGGGCUCACUUGCAUUAAGAUAAGUUGCAGAAAUUGUAGCAUGUCUUUCAUUCUUACGGUGUCUCACUAAUAGUGUGUCAAUCUUUCCUUAUUGUAUGUACUCAUUUUAUCUUACUUAAAUCAUAAAGAUGAUAUUCUUCUACACCAUCUUUUAAGAUCUUUGUGGCCUUUUCUUUAUGGCUGUAAUCUAUGUAGAACUGACUUUUGUGUGGGAGUUAAAUAGGAGCCCAGUUUGAUGUUUCUCCUUACAUGGUAGCCAGCUGCCCAGCACCCCUAGUUGAAUGAGUUCUUCUUUUCAUGUGGAUUUCAAUGCUCCCCCAGUCUGAUAUUGUGUCCAUGUGUGUGGAGAGGUCUGUUUCUGGAUUGCUCUUUUUUCCAUUGGUCUGUUGUCUGCCAUGUUCUGAUUCCACUUUGCCUUAAUUGUGUAGCUUGAUCAUGUGUCUUAACAUUGAAAAAGCAAAUCCUCACACCUUGCCUUCUACAAGAAAAUGUUUUGACUCUUCUUGGUCAUUUAGAGUCUCAUAUAAAUGUUAGAAUUAGGUUGUCAAUUCCCAUAGAAAAAUCUGUUAGAAUUUUGAUUGGGACUGUGCUGAAUCAUCAACCAGACAGAACUGUUACGAGCACAAUAUUGCCUCCAGUACAGAGAUGCUGAGACCAACUCGAUCGGGGAGACCCUAACCCAGCGGCGCUAGAGGAAUUAAAGACACACACACAGAAAUAUAGAGGUGUGAAGUGGGAAAUCAGGGGUCUCACAGCCUUCAGAGCUGAGAGCCCCAAACAGAGAUUUACCCACGUAUUUAUUAACAGCAAGCCAGUCAUUAGCAUUGAUAGAUAUUAGAUUAACUAAAAGUAUACCUUAUGGGAAACAAAGGGAUGGGCUAAAAUAAAGGGAUGGGUUGGGCUAGUUAUCUGCAGCAGGAACAUGUCCUUAAGGCACAGAUCACUCAUGCUAUUGUUUGUAGUUUAAGAAUGCCUUUAAGCAGUUUUCCGCCCUGGGUGGGCCAGGUGUUCCUUGCCCUCAUUCUGGUAAACCGACAACCUUCCAGCAUGGGUGUUAUGGCCAUCAUGAACAUGUCACAGUGCUGCAGAGAUAUUGUUUAUGGCCGGUUUUGGGGCCAGUUUAUGGCCAGAUUUUGGGGGGCCUGUUCCCAACACAGAGACAUGGUCAGUCUCUUCAUUUAUUUAGUUCUCCAAUAACGUUCAGGGUGUUAGUUUUCUCUGUAGAGGUUCUCUGUAGAGUACAUCUUGGAUUUGUUUCUAGGUACAGGAAACUUUUUAAAAAUAUAUUUUAUAUAGACCAGGGUCUCACCACGUUGCUCAGGCUGGUCUUGAACUCCUGGCCUUGGCAUCCCAAAGUGCUGGGAUUACAGAUGUGAGCUACUGCACCCAGCCAGGAAAUGUAUUUUCUAUUGCUCUCCCACAACUCCCACCACAUCUUCUCCAUCUGCAUGAAAUCAUAUUCUCUGUAUGGUAUCUGUAAAGUCAUAUCUUAUUCUGAGAAAUGUCCAUUUCUGCAUCAAUACUCAUCGCAUGUAUUCUAAAUAUACUUUGUCUUGUUUGUCUUGUAUAUAGGUUAUUGUAGUUACUUGACCUGUGCCGAAAUGUUAAAUGUGUGUAAGUUCAUGUCCUUCAUUCUGGCUUUUUAUUCACUAAUAGUCAUCAGCAUCCUUACUGUCAAUACAAGAGAUGCUCCUUCUCAAUAUUUUGAUAUGGUAGUACAAGGAUUCCAAAGGAGGAACCUUCUUUUUUAGCAGCUGUGUUUUUUGUUUUGGUUGGCAAUUCAC
RNAcentral lists this long non-coding RNA (2799 nucleotides) under Homo sapiens (human). Its description in RNAcentral is "non-protein coding MIF-AS1:5". Lineage: Eukaryota; Metazoa; Chordata; Mammalia; Primates; Hominidae. The record is from RNAcentral.